RNAcentral lists this ribosomal RNA (1236 nucleotides) under Protrigonometopus maculifrons. RNAcentral's name for it is "partial 16S ribosomal RNA". The record is from RNAcentral. Lineage: Eukaryota; Metazoa; Arthropoda; Insecta; Diptera; Lauxaniidae.
UCAAUAUAAAUUGAUUAAAAUUUAUUUAUUAUUUUUGUUUAUUUUUCUAUUAAUUUAUUAAAAAUAAUUAUAUAAAGAAUUAGUUUAAGUAUUUUUUAAAGAAAAAAUGAUUUUAAUAAUAGUUUAUUAGUAUUGUAAAAGAAUAUUGAAAUAAUUUGAAAAAUUUUUAUAAAAAAAGAAAUUAAAUUUGAUGUACCUUGUGUAUCAGGGUUGAUUAAAUAAAAAAUUUGUAUAAAUUUUUCUCGAUAUUAAAAGAGUUAAUAAAUUAUUUAAGUUAAUGUAGCAAAAUUAUUUAUAAUAAUUUAUUUGAAAUGAAAUGUUAUUCGUUUUUAAUGGUAUCUAGUUUUUUUAGAAAUAAAUUUAAUUUAGAAAAUUUUAAUUCAUUAGUAUUAGUUAAAUUAAUAUAAUAAUAUAAAAUUUUUAAUAUUUUACGGGAUAAGCUGUAAAAUAAAUUUUUAAAAAUUAAUUAAAAAAUUAAAAAAUAUAUGCUUAGAAAUAGCAAUUAUUAAUAAAUUUGUUAUAGUUUAUUUUAUAAAAUAAAUUAUUUAAUAUAAUUUUAAAUAUUUAUAAAAAAAUUUUUAUAAACAUUAAAUAAAAAAUUAUUAUGAUUAAAUUAGUAUAAAAUAAUGUAAAAUUAAAUUUAUUUGAAAAGUUUUUAUAAUGAAUUCGGCAAAUAAAUGUUCGCCUGUUUAACAAAAACAUGUCUUUUUGGAUUGAAUUUAAAGUCUGACCUGCCCACUGAAAUUUUAAAUGGCCGCAGUAUAUUAACUGUGCAAAGGUAGCAUAAUCAUUAGUCUUUUAAUUGAAGGCUGGAAUGAAUGGUUGGACGAAAUAUUAACUGUUUCAUAAAAAUUUAAGUUAGAAUUUUAUUUUUUAGUCAAAAAGCUAAAAUUUUUUUAAAAGACGAGAAGACCCUAUAAAUCUUUAUAUUUUUUAUUGUUAUAAUUAUUUAGAUAGAUUUUAUUUUAAUAGUAUAAAAUAUUUUAUUGGGGUGAUAUUAAAAUUUAAUAAACUUUUAAUUUAUUAAAACAUUUAUUUAUGAUUAAUUGAUCCAAUUUUAUUGAUUAAAAAUUUAAGUUACUUUAGGGAUAACAGCGUAAUUUUUUUGGAGAGUUCAUAUCGAUAAAAAAGAUUGCGACCUCGAUGUUGGAUUAAGAGAUAAGUUUGGGCGCAGCCGUUCAAAAGUUAAGUCUGUUCGACUUUUAAAUUCUUACAUGAUCUGAGUUCAAACCGGUG